GACGAACGCUGGCGGCGUGCUUAACACAUGCAAGUCGAGCGGUCCUUCUUGGAGUCUAGCUUGCUAAACACUAGGAAGGAUAGCGGCGAACGGGUGAGUAUCACGUGGGCAACCUGUCCGAAAGACCGGGAUAACAGUCCGAAAGGGCUGCUAAUACCGGAUACACUUCUCAGGGCGCAUGUUUUGGGAAGAAAAAGGUUGGUAACUUCCGCUUUCGGGUGGGCCCGCGCCCCAUUAGCUAGUUGGUAGGGUAACGGCCUACCAAGGCAACGAUGGGUAGCUGGUCUGAGAGGAUGGUCAGCCACACUGGGACUGAGACACGGCCCAGACUCCUACGGGAGGCAGCAGUGGGGAAUCUUGCGCAAUGGGCGAAAGCCUGACGCAGCGACGCCGCGUGAGCGAUGAAGGCCUUCGGGUUGUAAAGCUCUGUCAGAGGGGACGAUAAUGACGGUACCCUCAGAGGAAGCCCCGGCUAACUACGUGCCAGCAGCCGCGGUAAGACGUANGGGGCUAGCGUUGUCCGAAUUACUGGNCG
This 535-nucleotide ribosomal RNA is filed under the name uncultured bacterium. Its description in RNAcentral is "bacterial SSU rRNA". It matches the Rfam family "Bacterial small subunit ribosomal RNA", at positions 28 to 560 of the family's 1533-position model. The record is from RNAcentral.